UCGGAUAUGGUGUAACGGCUAACAUUGCCGCCUCUCAUGUCUAUGACCUCAUAGCUGUGCGCGGCAGCUCGGGGUUCGAUUCCCCGUAUCCGAA
Non-coding RNA from Desarmillaria tabescens, 94 nucleotides. The record is from the annotation of a RefSeq genome assembly. NCBI's taxonomy places the organism in Eukaryota, Fungi, Basidiomycota, Agaricomycetes, Agaricales, Physalacriaceae.